RNAcentral lists this ribosomal RNA (432 nucleotides) under uncultured bacterium. RNAcentral's name for it is "partial 16S ribosomal RNA". It matches the Rfam family "Bacterial small subunit ribosomal RNA", at positions 29 to 507 of the family's 1533-position model. The record is from RNAcentral.
GCGAACGCUGGCGGCAGGCCUAACCCCUGCAAGUCGAACGAACCUUUCGGGGUUAGUGGCGGACGGGUGAGUAACACGUGGGAACGUGCCUUUAGGUUCGGAAUAACUCAGGGAAACUUGUGCUAAUACCGAAUGUGCCCUUCGGGGGAAAGAUUAAUCGCCUUUAGAGCGGCCCGCGUCUGAUUAGCUAGUUGGUUGAGGUAAUGGCUCACCAAGGCGACGAUCAGUAGCUGGUCUGAGAGGAUGAUCAGCCACAUUGGGACUGAGACACGGCCCAAACCCCAACGGGGGGAGGCAGGGGGGAAUCUUGGGCAUUGGCGAAAGCCUGACGCAGCCAUGCCGCGUGAAUGAUGAAGGUCUUAGGAUUGUAAAAUUCUUUCACCGGGGACGAUAAUGACGGUACCCGGAGAAGAAGCCCCGGCUAACUUCGUG